UACGGGGGGGGCAAGCGUUGUUCGGAAUUACUGGGCGUAAAGGGCUCGUAGGCGGCCAACUAAGUCAGACGUGAAAUCCCUCGGCUUAACCGGGGAACUGCAUCUGAUACUGGAUGGCUUGAGUUCGGGAGAGGGAUGCGGAAUUCCAGGUGUAGCGGUGAAAUGCGCAGAUAUCAGGAGGAACACCGGUGGCGAAGGCGGGUCUCUGGGCAGUAACUGACGCUGAGGAGCGAAAGCGUGGGGAGCGAACAGG
Molecule: ribosomal RNA, 253 nt
Filed under: uncultured bacterium
Lineage: Bacteria
Description: partial 16S ribosomal RNA
Rfam family: Bacterial small subunit ribosomal RNA
Source: RNAcentral